Molecule: ribosomal RNA, 253 nt
Filed under: uncultured bacterium
Lineage: Bacteria
Description: partial 16S ribosomal RNA
Rfam family: Bacterial small subunit ribosomal RNA
Source: RNAcentral
UACGAAGGGAGCGAGCGUUGUUCGGAAUCACUGGGCUUAAAGCGUAUGUAGGCGGUCAUUCAAGUCAGGAGUGAAAACCCGGGGCUCAACCCCGGAAUUGCUUUUGAAACUAGAUGACUCGAGUCCCGGAGAGGUUGGCGGAAUUCCGAGUGUAGAGGUGAAAUUCGCAGAUAUUCGGAGGAACACCAGUGGCGAAGGCGGCCAACUGGACGGGUACUGACGCUGAGGUACGAAAGCGUGGGGAUCAAACAGG